Molecule: ribosomal RNA, 838 nt
Filed under: uncultured Pseudomonas sp.
Lineage: Bacteria; Pseudomonadati; Pseudomonadota; Gammaproteobacteria; Pseudomonadales; Pseudomonadaceae
Description: bacterial SSU rRNA
Rfam family: Bacterial small subunit ribosomal RNA
Source: RNAcentral
ACACAUGCAAGUCGAGCGGAUGAAGGGAGCUUGCUCUCUGAUUCAGCGGCGGACGGGUGAGUAAUGCCUAGGAAUCUGCCUGGUAGUGGGGGACAACGUUUCGAAAGGAACGCUAAUACCGCAUACGUCCUACGGGAGAAAGUGGGGGAUCUUCGGACCUCACGCUAUCAGAUGAGCCUAGGUCGGAUUAGCUAGUAGGUGAGGUAACGGCUCACCUAGGCGACGAUCCGUAACUGGUCUGAGAGGAUGAUCAGUCACACUGGAACUGAGACACGGUCCAGACUCCUACGGGAGGCAGCAGUGGGGAAUAUUGGACAAUGGGCGAAAGCCUGAUCCAGCCAUGCCGCGUGUGUGAAGAAGGUCUUCGGAUUGUAAAGCACUUUAAGUUGGGAGGAAGGGCAGUAAGUUAAUACCUUGCUGUUUUGACGUUACCAACAGAAUAAGCACCGGCUAACUUCGUGCCAGCAGCCGCGGUAAUACGAAGGGUGCAAGCGUUAAUCGGAAUUACUGGGCGUAAAGCGCGCGUAGGUGGUUUGGUAAGAUGGAUGUGAAAUCCCCGGGCUCAACCUGGGAACUGCAUCCAUAACUGCCUGACUAGAGUACGGUAGAGGGUGGUGGAAUUUCCUGUGUAGCGGUGAAAUGCGUAGAUAUAGGAAGGAACACCAGUGGCGAAGGCGACCACCUGGACUGAUACUGACACUGAGGUGCGAAAGCGUGGGGAGCAAACAGGAUUAGAUACCCUGGUAGUCCACGCCGUAAAACGAUGUCGACUAGCCGUUGGAAUCCCUUGAGAUUUUAGUGGGCGCAGCUAACGCGAUAAGUCGACCGCCCUGGGGAG